AAGAUGAGUUUUCUGCCCAAAGCCUUGGCCUAGCCCUACGUCAUGGCUCUAGCACCAGAGAGACUGAGGAAGGACAAUCACUGAGAAUUUGAGGUCAGCAUGAUCUACAGUGAGACCUUAUCUCAGAAAAUAAAAACAAAAGAAGAGCAUGACUUCAUUCUAAUUGUAAAAUAACAUUAGCAAACAGAUGGAAAACAUUUUAUAAGAUAACUAAUGACCUCUUCAAAGAGGCCAGAGAACAAAAGGAAGGAAAGAUUCUAAGAAACAGACUGGAGGAGUCUAAGCAGACACAUGUGAUGUAAGAAGCUAUGAGGUAGACUAGAAAGGGGGUAACAGAAGAACUUUAAGAAUUCAUAAGACUGCAACACAGGCCAGCUAAUUGUGUUAAACCAGUUUUAACUGCCCAGUUGUGAUAAUUUUUACGAUGAUACAAAAGAUGUCAAAGUGAAACUAAAUGAAUUAUACACAAGAACUCUUGGGUUCUAUUUCUGCAACACUUCUUAAAAGUCUACAGGAUUAUAAUAUGCAAGAGGCCUACGAAUAAUCGAGUGGAGCUGCAGCAGACGGAACGCAAGCGCUCAGAAGAGGACGGUCUAAGCAGAGACACAGACACUGGACACUGAGAUGAAGCCUGGUUGUGAUUUACUGACUCCAGGAUUCCAACCAAGGUCUUCACCUUGUGAACUUUAAUUAUCAUGGCAAAAAGAAUGGUCAAAACAUAACCUGAAUUAAAUGCUUAUUAACCCUACGAUAAAUCAUUCAAAAACAUC
Non-coding RNA from Rattus norvegicus (Norway rat), 770 nucleotides. Lineage: Eukaryota; Metazoa; Chordata; Mammalia; Rodentia; Muridae. The record is from RefSeq and is a predicted model, not a curated record.